AGGAUGAACGCUAGCGGGAGGCUUAAUACAUGCAAGUCGAGCGGCAAGCAGUAGCAAUACUGCCUAGAGCGGCGUACGGGUGAGUAACACGUAUGUAAUCUGCCCCUGUCCGGGGGAUAGCCCUCCGAAAGGAGGAUUAAUACCCCAUAACACUAUGAAACGGCAUCGUUUUAUAUUUAAAGCCCCGGCGGACAGGGAUGAACAUGCGUCCCAUUAGCUUGUUGGCAAGGUAACGGCUCACCAAGGCGACGAUGGGUAGCUGGUCUGAGAGGAUGAUCAGCCACACGGGCACUGAGAUACGGGCCCGACUCCUACGGGAGGCAGCAGUAGGGAAUAUUGGGCAAUGGACGAAAGUCUGACCCAGCCAUCCCGCGUGAAGGAUGAAGGAUCUAUGGUUCGUAAACUUCUUUUAUUGGGGAAGAAAAGUCUCGUUCUCGAGAACUGACGGUACCCAAUGAAUAAGCACCGGCUAACUCCGUGCCAGCAGCCGC
RNAcentral lists this ribosomal RNA (491 nucleotides) under uncultured bacterium. RNAcentral's name for it is "SSU rRNA". It matches the Rfam family "Bacterial small subunit ribosomal RNA", at positions 26 to 518 of the family's 1533-position model. The record is from RNAcentral.